CUGGCUCAGGAUGAACGCUGGCGGCGUGCUUAACACAUGCAAGUCGAACGGAGCUUACUGGAAAGCUUGCUUUCUUUAAGCUUAGUGGCGGACGGGUGAGUAACGCGUGAGCAACCUGCCCUUCAGUGGGGAAUAACACCGAGAAAUCGGUGCUAAUACCGCAUAAUGUCGGAGGACCGCAUGAUCUUCCGACCAAAGGAUUUAUUCGCUGAAGGAUGGGCUCGCGUCCGAUUAGGCAGUUGGCGGGUAACGGCCCACCAAACCGACGAUCGGUAGCCGAACUGAGAGGUUGAUCGGCCACAUUGGGACUGAGACACGGCCCAGACUCCUACGGGAGGCAGCAGUGGGGAAUAUUGGGCAAUGGGCGAAAAGCCUGACCCAGCAACGCCGCGUGAAGGAUGAAGGUCUUCGGAUUGUAAACUUCUUUGAUUGGGGAAGAAUAAAUGACCUACCCAAAGAACAAGUCACGGCUAACUACGUGCCAGCCGCUGC
RNAcentral lists this ribosomal RNA (492 nucleotides) under uncultured bacterium. Its description in RNAcentral is "bacterial SSU rRNA". It matches the Rfam family "Bacterial small subunit ribosomal RNA", at positions 19 to 518 of the family's 1533-position model. The record is from RNAcentral.